GCUCAUCACAUCCUGGGGCUGAAGUAGGUCCCAAGGGUAUGGCUGUUCGCCAUUUAAAGUGGUACGCGAGCUGGGUUUAGAACGUCGUGAGACAGUUCGGUCCCUAUCUGCCGUGGGCGCUGGAGAAUUGAGGGGGGCUGCUCCUAGUACGAGAGGACCGGAGUGGACGCAUCACUGGUGUUCGGGUUGUCAUGCCAAUGGCAUUGCCCGGUAGCUAAAUGCGGAAGAGAUAAGUGCUGAAAGCAUCUAAGCACGAAACUUGCCCCGAGAUGAGUUCUCCCUGAGACUAUAAGUCUCCUGAAGGAACGUUGAAGACGACGACGUUGAUAGGCCGGGUGUGUAAGCGCAGCGAUGCGUUGAGCUAACCGGUACUAAUGAACCGUGAGGCUUAACCUUACAACGCCGAAGCUGUU
RNAcentral lists this ribosomal RNA (413 nucleotides) under Enterobacteriaceae bacterium 8376wB8. RNAcentral's name for it is "partial 23S ribosomal RNA". It matches the Rfam family "Bacterial large subunit ribosomal RNA", at positions 2535 to 2925 of the family's 2925-position model. Lineage: Bacteria; Pseudomonadati; Pseudomonadota; Gammaproteobacteria; Enterobacterales; Enterobacteriaceae. The record is from RNAcentral.